GCUUACGGCCAUACCACCCUGAGAACGCCCGAUCUCGUCUGAUCUCGGAAGCUAAGCAGGGUCUGGCCUGGUUAGUACUUGGAUGGGAGACCGCCUGGGAAUACCAGGUGCUGUAAGCU
This 119-nucleotide ribosomal RNA is filed under the name Astyanax mexicanus (Mexican tetra). Lineage: Eukaryota; Metazoa; Chordata; Actinopteri; Characiformes; Acestrorhamphidae. The record is from RNAcentral.